ACGGGUGAGUAACACGUAAGGAACCUGCCUCAAGGAUUGGGAUAACUCCGAGAAAUCGGAGCUAAUACCGGAUAGUUCAACGGACCGCAUGGUCCGCUGAUGAAAGGCGCUUCGGCGUCACCUUGAGAUGGCCUUGCGGUGCAUUAGCUAGUUGGUGGGGUAACGGCCCACCAAGGCGACGAUGCAUAGCCGACCUGAGAGGGUGAUCGGCCACACUGGGACUGAGACACGGCCCAGACUCCUACGGGAGGCAGCAGUAGGGAAUCUUCCACAAUGGACGAAAGUCUGAUGGAGCAACGCCGCGUGAGUGAUGAAGGUUUUCGGAUCGUAAAACUCUGUUGUAAGGGAAGAACACGUACGAGAGGAAAUGCUCGUACCUUGACGGUACCUUACGAGAAAGCCACGGCUAACUACGUGCCAGCAGCCGCGGUAAUACGUAGGUGGCAAGCGUUGUCCGGAAUUAUUGGGCGUAAAGCGCGCGCAGGCGGCCUUUUAAGUCUGAUGUGAAAGCCCCCGGCUCAACCGGGGAGGGCCAUUGGAAACUGGAAGGCUUGAGUACAGAAGAGAAGA
RNAcentral lists this ribosomal RNA (570 nucleotides) under uncultured bacterium. RNAcentral's name for it is "bacterial SSU rRNA". It matches the Rfam family "Bacterial small subunit ribosomal RNA", at positions 102 to 660 of the family's 1533-position model. The record is from RNAcentral.